CUCUGGUCCUGCCCAGCGCCCGCCCCGCGCGCCGAGCUGCUCCGCCCCCGCUUCAACCUGGAGCCGGUGGCCGCCGCGCCUUCCUCGGCCCUUCCCAGCCUGCGCCCCCUCACCUCGCAGCCACAGGCUCCUGAGUCCUUAAAGGCGCAGCAGCCCGCGCCCGGCCUUUGCAACCACACAGGCGCAUCGCCAGCCCAGCGAGGAGCCGCAGCCUGCGCUUGGGGCGACAGGGCGGGGGACGAGGUUGCUUCGAAGGGGCCCAGAAGUGUGUAGCGAUGGGUUGCAGUGGUGUCGUUCGUGCAGAUCGGGAACAGAGAAGAGGUCCCUCCUUGCACGUGUGUGUAGCAGACAUGGAAAUACGGUGAGGUCACCGCAUUCGUCGCUUUCUUCAUGCAGCUCCCUCGGCCUGGAACAGCUUCCCCUCGCCACGUUCCCACGGCAGCUCUGCAAAAACAACUCUUCGACGCUAUUCUAGAAGCCACCUGGCUGUAGUGACAUUGUGCCUCUCUGGGCCAGCGCUCCUGUUCCUUGGGGUGGAAUCAUUGACCCCACCGUCUCCCUGGCUGGGCCAGUCUAUGUCAAAAAAUGGUGGCAAUUUAUGAGAAUUUUUAAAACAUUUCCCAUACAAAAACUGUGGUUGAAAUAUCCAACACUGGAAACAUUUCAACCAGCUCUGUAUAAACUGGUUUUAAAAACCCAGCAAAAAUUAUUUAAAAAAAGAUUGACAUGUUGACCAGCACUGGUCAGAAUGGAGUACCUACCAUGGCAGGAUCAGAAAGCAUGGAGCCUACUUACAGACUCCUUUGUCCUUUGCAAGCCACAGAGCCAGCUUUGCAAGGGCACAGGGGAGUUUAUGAUGCAGGCCAAGGGUGUAUAGAGGUCAGAGCCAGUAGGAUCACAAUUUGGACAAGGCACGAAAGAGGGACGUGUACAAGAGUUUACUAUACAUUUUCUCUUCUUCCACCAGCCCAUGACAGAGGGAGGAAUCAAGGCUCAACUAUUCUCUUCUCCAACCUCAAAAUCCUGAAUGUCUCCUUAUCCUUUAUGGUGCCAAACUCGUUGGAAGAAGAGGGCUGAAUUCUUCAUUUAAUUAUGGUUCAUGGCCCAUGGUAUAAAUUCGGGACUAUAUACUCUCAAUAAGACAUUGAUGUCAAUUGGCAGUUUGCACAGAUAUUGUGGAAAGGAUAUGGUCUUUAUGCAGUAACUAAAUGUUUUGUUAUUUGUUCUGUACCUUAUUGUGACAUUCAUCUUCAGUAUGCACCCUUUUUGUUUUAAAUAUGUUCCAAUUUAAGCCUACUGUUGUUUAUGCUCUUUGUUUCUCCUUCCUUUCUCAAUUUCUUCUCAUUCCCUUGUCUUUGGGAAUCUCCUCUGUUCUCUGCAUUCUCUUCUUCCCUGCAGAAAUUCCAGGCUGCACUCCCAUCCUCUUCCCAACCUGCCAACUAAAAUGAUCGGUGAUUAAAUAGUUGAUGAUGGCACUGAAGGGUCAUCCAAAGCAGUGGUUCUCAACCUUUUUUUACCCAGAGACCCCUAAACUUAAAUUGACAAACACUGCAGAAUCCCAACUCCCCAUCAUUAUUUUGUUGCUCAUAAUUUCUUUCACAUUAUUUUAAUAGUUAUCCUGAAUAUUACCGUAGAGAAAUUAUUUGAACAGAUCAACAAAACACAGCAAGUUAAAAUACUGAUAGCUUAUUAAUGCCAGAGAAGUUUUCAAACUGUGGGGCAUGGCCAUCUAGGGAGGCUCAGGGAGGGAGCGCCACCUCCACUCCCUGACUCACUCCAGUGAGCCACCCAGCAGAAAUCGAGGGUGAGGCCAUGACCAAAAAUUGCAGCAUCACUGCAGAAGAGAGAUCUCCUCCUGCCAUCAGAAGGGGUUGCCUCACAGCCAUUGACUCCACAGGCAGCAGCUAGCCAAGGAGACACACCACUGCUCUGCUUUGCUGCAUCAGCACUUCAGGGAGCAUGGCCAAAUGUGCCCCCUCUCACACAUCACCCCUGGUUGCUGAUACAUUUGUGGACCCUCUGGACUAUACUGGCAGACCCUUACCGGUGUGAAGACCACAGGUUGAAAACCACUGCAAAAUCUAUAUUCCAGUCAGCUUUAGAUUAUUACCAAUGCAGCUAGAAAAUCGAAGCUGAGAUUCUGGAGAAUCUAAAUAGGUCAUGGUGACCACGUAAAUAAAUUAUGUGCUGGCCAUA
Long non-coding RNA from Gopherus evgoodei (Goodes thornscrub tortoise), 2196 nucleotides. RefSeq lists it as uncharacterized. The record is from RefSeq and is a predicted model, not a curated record. The transcript is spliced from 2 exons. Lineage: Eukaryota; Metazoa; Chordata; Testudines; Testudinidae.